GAUGAACGCUGGCGGCGUGCCUAAUACAUGCAAGUCGAGCGAACGGACGAGAAGCUUGCUUCUCUGAUGUUAGCGGCGGACGGGUGAGUAACAUGUGGAUAACCUACCUAUAAGACUGGGAUAACUUCGGGAAACCGGAGCUAAUACCGGAUGAUAUUUUGAACCGCAUGGUUCAAAAGUGAAAGACGGUCUUGCUGUCACUUAUAGAUGGAUCCGCGCUGCAUUAGCUAGUUGGUAAGGUAACGGCUUACCAAGGCAACGAUGCAUAUCCGACCUGAGAGGGUGAUCGGCCACACGGGAACUGGGACACGGUCCAGACUCCUACGGGAGGCAGCAGUAGGGAAUCUUCCGCAAUGGGCGAAAGCCUGGCGGAGCAACGCCGCGUGAGUGAUGAAGGUCUUCGGAUCGUAAAACUCUGUUAUUAGGGAAGAACAUAUGUGUAAGUAACUGUGCACAUCUUGACGGUACCUAAUCAGAAAGCCACGGCUAACUACGUG
This 497-nucleotide ribosomal RNA is filed under the name uncultured bacterium. RNAcentral describes it as "partial 16S ribosomal RNA". It matches the Rfam family "Bacterial small subunit ribosomal RNA", at positions 28 to 507 of the family's 1533-position model. The record is from RNAcentral.